RNAcentral lists this ribosomal RNA (771 nucleotides) under uncultured Bacillus sp. Its description in RNAcentral is "partial 16S ribosomal RNA". It matches the Rfam family "Bacterial small subunit ribosomal RNA", at positions 1 to 722 of the family's 1533-position model. Lineage: Bacteria; Bacillati; Bacillota; Bacilli; Caryophanales; Bacillaceae. The record is from RNAcentral.
CGAUGGCCGACGUCGCAUGCUCCCGGCCGCCAUGGUAGAGUUUGAUCCUGGCUCAGGAUGAACGCUGGCGGCGUGCCUAAUACAUGCAAGUCGAGCGAACUGAUUAGAAGCUUGCUUCUAUGACGUUAGCAGCGGACGGGUGAGUAACACGUGGGCAACCUGCCUGUAAGACUGGGAUAACUUCGGGAAACCGAAGCUAAUACCGGAUAGGAUCUUUUCCUUCAUGGGAGAUGAUUGAAAGAUGGUUUCGGCUAUCACUUACAGAUGGGCCCGCGGUGCAUUAGCUAGUUGGUGAGGUAACGGCUCACCAAGGCAACGAUGCAUAGCCGACCUGAGAGGGUGAUCGGCCACACUGGGACUGAGACACGGCCCAGACUCCUACGGGAGGCAGCAGUAGGGAAUCUUCCGCAAUGGACGAAAGUCUGACGGAGCAACGCCGCGUGAGUGAUGAAGGCUUUCGGGUCGUAAAACUCUGUUGUUAGGGAAGAACAAGUAUGAGAGUAACUGCUCGUACCUUGACGGUACCUAACCAGAAAGCCACGGCUAACUACGUGCCAGCAGCCGCGGUAAUACGUAGGUGGCAAGCGUUAUCCGGAAUUAUUGGGCGUAAAGCGCGCGCAGGCGGUUUCUUAAGUCUGAUGUGAAAGCCCACGGCUCAACCGUGGAGGGUCAUUGGAAACUGGGGAACUUGAGUGCAGAAGAGGAAAGCGGGAAUUCCACGUGUAGCGGUGAAAAUGCGUAGAAAUGUGGAGGAACACCAGUGGCGAAGGC